GUUAGUGUUGAAAAUGGCGCCGUUUGCACCACCGGAGGUAGGUGGGAUGAGUUAAACCCUGAGAUAUUGGCAUCGAUUUUCAUAAGGAUUGUUCCGCCGGAUCUGAUGGUGAGGUCGGUGGUGUUAGUUUGCCGGAAUUGGAUGGAGACGGUAUCUGGUCCUUCCUGCUGGAUGGAGAUUGAUCUGGAAAACUGGUGCCGGAAAUGCUGCAUUGCUAAGCGUCCCCACCUGAUUGACCUUGGUGUCAGCAAAGCUGUUCGGCGGAGCAGGUCCACAGUCCAGCGACUCACCACUUACCGUCUCGGCAUUGCUGGAUUCUCCGCCGCUGCUAGACGUGGAAGAUGUCUCAAGACACUG
Molecule: unclassified non-coding RNA, 357 nt
Filed under: Hevea brasiliensis (rubber tree)
Lineage: Eukaryota; Viridiplantae; Streptophyta; Magnoliopsida; Malpighiales; Euphorbiaceae
Source: RNAcentral